GCUGGCGGCGCGCCUAACACAUGCAGUCGAACGAGAAAGUGGAGCAUCCAUGAGUACAGUGGCGUACGGGUGAGUAACACGUGGGUGAUCUACCUCUUAGUGAGGAAUAACCCUGGGAAACCGGGGCUAAUACCGCAUAAGCCUUAGCAGGGAAAGUCGAAAGACGCUGAGAGAGGAGCCCGCGGCCGAUUAGCUAGUUGGUGAGGUAAGAGCCCACCAAGGCAGAGAUCGGUAGCCGGCCUGAGAGGGCACACGGCCACACUGGCACUGAAACACGGGCCAGACUCCUACGGGAGGCAGCAGUGGGGAAUCUUGCACAAUGGGGGAAACCCUGAUGCAGCGACGCCGCGUGAGCGAUGAAGCCCUUCGGGGUGUAAAGCUCUUUCGGCAGGGAAGAUAGUGACGGUACCUGCAGAAGCAGCUGCGGCUAACUACGUGCCAGCAGCCGCGGUAAUACGUAGGCAGCAAGCGUUGUUCGGAGUUACUGGGCGUAAAGGGUGUGUAGGCGGUUCUUUAAGUUUGGUGUGAAAUCUCCCGGCUCAACCGGGAGGGUGCGCCGAAUACUGAGGGACUA
Molecule: ribosomal RNA, 574 nt
Filed under: uncultured soil bacterium
Lineage: Bacteria
Description: bacterial SSU rRNA
Rfam family: Bacterial small subunit ribosomal RNA
Source: RNAcentral